AUACGGAGGGUGCAAGCGUUGUCCGGAUUUAUUGGGUUUAAAGGGUGUGUAGGCGGUGUAUUAAGUCAGUGGUGAAAGCCUGCGGCUCAACCGUAGAACUGCCAUUGAUACUGACACACUUGAGUUUGGUUGAGGUAGGCGGAAUUUAUGGUGUAGCGGUGAAAUGCAUAGAUACCAUAAAGAACACCGAUAGCGAAGGCAGCUUACUAAGCCGAAACUGACGCUGCGGCACGAAAGCGUGGGGAGCGAACAGGAUUAGAUACCCUAGUAGUCC
Molecule: ribosomal RNA, 274 nt
Filed under: uncultured bacterium
Lineage: Bacteria
Description: partial 16S ribosomal RNA
Rfam family: Bacterial small subunit ribosomal RNA
Source: RNAcentral